CCUACGGGCGGCUGCAGUGGGGAAUAUUGCACAAUGGGCGCAAGCCUGAUGCAGCCAUGCCGCGUGUGUGAAGAAGGCCUUCGGGUUGUAAAGCACUUUCAGCGGGGAGGAAGGCGGUGAGGUUAAUAACCUCAUCGAUUGACGUUACCCGCAGAAGAAGCACCGGCUAACUCCGUGCCAGCAGCCGCGGUAAUACGGAGGGUGCAAGCGUUAAUCGGAAUUACUGGGCGUAAAGCGCACGCAGGCGGUCUGUCAAGUCGGAUGUGAAAUCCCCGGGUUCAACCUGGGAACUGCAUUCGAAACUGGCAGGCUAGAGUCUUGUAGAGGGGGGUAGAAUUCCAGGUGUAGCGGUGAAAUGCGUAGAGAUCUGGAGGAAUACCGGUGGCGAAGGCGGCCCCCUGGACAAAGACUGACGCUCAGGUGCGAAAGCGUGGGGAGCAAACAGGAUUAGAUACCCCAGUAGUC
RNAcentral lists this ribosomal RNA (465 nucleotides) under uncultured Klebsiella sp. RNAcentral's name for it is "bacterial SSU rRNA". It matches the Rfam family "Bacterial small subunit ribosomal RNA", at positions 338 to 795 of the family's 1533-position model. The record is from RNAcentral. Lineage: Bacteria; Pseudomonadati; Pseudomonadota; Gammaproteobacteria; Enterobacterales; Enterobacteriaceae.